This 563-nucleotide ribosomal RNA is filed under the name Pantoea sp. RNAcentral describes it as "bacterial SSU rRNA". It matches the Rfam family "Bacterial small subunit ribosomal RNA", at positions 94 to 653 of the family's 1533-position model. The record is from RNAcentral. Lineage: Bacteria; Pseudomonadati; Pseudomonadota; Gammaproteobacteria; Enterobacterales; Erwiniaceae.
AGUGGCGGACGGGUGAGUAAUGUCUGGGAAACUGCCCGAUGGAGGGGGAUAACUACUGGAAACGGUAGCUAAUACCGCAUAAUGUCGCAAGACCAAAGUGGGGGACCUUCGGGCCUCACACCAUCGGAUGUGCCCAGAUGGGAUUAGCUAGUAGGUGGGGUAAUGGCUCACCUAGGCGACGAUCCCUAGCUGGUCUGAGAGGAUGACCAGCCACACUGGAACUGAGACACGGUCCAGACUCCUACGGGAGGCAGCAGUGGGGAAUAUUGCACAAUGGGCGCAAGCCUGAUGCAGCCAUGCCGCGUGUAUGAAGAAGGCCUUCGGGUUGUAAAGUACUUUCAGCGGGGAGGAAGGCGGUGAGGUUAAUAACCUCGCCGAUUGACGUUACCCGCAGAAGAAGCACCGGCUAACUCCGUGCCAGCAGCCGCGGUAAUACGGAGGGUGCAAGCGUUAAUCGGAAUUACUGGGCGUAAAGCGCACGCAGGCGGUCUGUUAAGUCAGAUGUGAAAUCCCCGGGCUUAACCUGGGAACUGCAUUUGAAACUGGCAGGCUUGAGUCUCGUA